This 253-nucleotide ribosomal RNA is filed under the name uncultured bacterium. RNAcentral describes it as "partial 16S ribosomal RNA". It matches the Rfam family "Bacterial small subunit ribosomal RNA", at positions 524 to 776 of the family's 1533-position model. The record is from RNAcentral.
UACGAAGGGGGCUAGCGUUGCUCGGAAUUACUGGGCGUAAAGGGAGCGUAGGCGGACAGUUUAGUCAGAGGUGAAAGCCCAGGGCUCAACCUUGGAAUUGCCUUUGAUACUGGCUGUCUUGAGUACGGGAGAGGUGUGUGGAACUCCGAGUGUAGAGGUGAAAUUCGUAGAUAUGACAUAGAACACCAAUUGCGAAGGCAGCUCACUACACGAAUAUUGACACUGAGGCACGAAAGCGUGGGGAUCAAACAGG